CGCGGGAAAUCUUACCGGGUCCGGACACACUGAGGAUUGACAGAUAUACACACAUACGUGUGUUCAAAGAUGCUAGUUCUUUCAUGAUUAUGUGAUAGGUGGUGCAUGGCCGUUCUUAGUUCGUGGAGUGAUCUGUCUGCUUAAUUGCGUUUCAUAUAUACGUACAUAUUCAUAUGUACAUUUGAAAGCAACGAACGUGACCGUAUUCUUUUGUUAUAUAUAUACGCGAGUAUAUAAUCCAAAAUGUGAGACCGCUGUUUCUUUCUUUUAAACCAGAGGAAGGUUAUGGCAAUAACAGGUCUGUGAUGCCCUUCGAUGUUCCGGGCUGCACACGUGCUACAAUGAUUUUAUCAUUAUUUUUUGUAUCCUACUCUGAGAAUAGUUGUGAGUCAGAAGUUUGAUCUUUCUUGUAUUCUUCAUAAGUAUUAUAUAUUUUUGUAUG
RNAcentral lists this ribosomal RNA (442 nucleotides) under Elphidium sp. S12. Its description in RNAcentral is "SSU rRNA". The stretch from base 1 to 340 matches the Rfam family "Eukaryotic small subunit ribosomal RNA", at positions 1204 to 1501 of the family's 1831-position model. Lineage: Eukaryota; Foraminifera; Rotaliida; Elphidiidae. The record is from RNAcentral.